Molecule: ribosomal RNA, 407 nt
Filed under: uncultured bacterium
Lineage: Bacteria
Description: partial 16S ribosomal RNA
Rfam family: Bacterial small subunit ribosomal RNA
Source: RNAcentral
AUUGAACGCUGGCGGCAGGCCUAACACAUGCAAGUCGAGCGGAGCGGCGGACGGGCGGGUAAUGCCUAGGUAUCUGCCUGGUAGUGGGGGAUGACGUCCGGAAACGGGCGCUAAUACCGAAUACUUUCAGAUGAGCCUAGGUCGGAUUAGCUAGUUGGUGGGGUAAAGGCCUACCAAGGCGACGAUCCGUAGCUGGUCUGAGAGGAUGACCAGCCACACUGGAACUGAGACACGGUCCAGACUCCUACGGUAGGCAGCAGUGGGGAAUAUUGGACAAUGGGCGAAAGCCUGAUCCAGCCAUGCCGCGUGUGUGAAGAAGGUCUUCGGAUUGUAAAGCACUUUAAGUUGGGAGGCGUUACCAACAGAAUAAGCACCGGCUAACUCCGUGCCAGCAGCCGCGGUAAUAC